Triticum aestivum (bread wheat) is the source of this 2763-nucleotide long non-coding RNA. RefSeq lists it as uncharacterized. Lineage: Eukaryota; Viridiplantae; Streptophyta; Magnoliopsida; Poales; Poaceae. The record is from RefSeq and is a predicted model, not a curated record. The transcript is spliced from 2 exons.
UUAGAGUGAUGGGUCCACUAGGCCACGUGUUGGCCGCUGGUUGACCCUGCACGAUAGUGCGUGCAGGGAUCCCACCAGGAGAGCCCGACCUAGCGCUGCCCGCGUCAUGCGUCGUGCGUCAUGGGAGCAGUUGCGGAGGGGACGGCCGGUGCGUGUGCACCCGGCUUCUGUAACCGUCUUUGGCAUGCCGCGAUGACGGGUGGGCCGGCGCUGCUCGUGGUCCCGCUCGUCGGCUGCACUAGAUGCGUGUCUCGUCGGGGUCACCACAUCGUCGUUUUCGUUCGCGUCUGGUGUUGGAGAGAGUUGUGCGGCUGACUCCUGCGUCGUGCUCUGCCUGGCCCCUGCGCCAUGCCGCGUCUCGUCUAAGGCAGCAGGAGCGUGCGGUGUGGGUGCCCCCAAACCAUAGGUCUCCUCGCUCCUCCCUUCCUCCCCCUCCCCCCGGCAGCCCGAGGAGCUCUGCCAUCGAUGAGAUCCAGCGCCUCCCAAGGUCCUUAUCCACCACAGCUCGCGAGGAAGCUGCGGUAGGAGAUCAACCGGGCAUUCGCCGGCCGGAGAAGGAGGAGAGGCGCAGAUGCCAGCCAGGAAGGUGGAUCGGUUCGCCUCCGCUGUGCCGUGAGCACCGCCGCCGCCUUUGCAUCCACCUUGCUCCGCGUAGCAGCAUGUGUGCGGAAGCAUGGACAGGUGACCACGAGUAGAUGGCGUCGGCGGCAACAGCAACACGCACGGUGUGAUGGGCGCGGCCUGCCCGCAGGCAUUCUAGGCUUGCGUGCCCGAUGGCUCGGAACGCGCGCGCCCGGCGCACAGGAGGUAUAUGCCUUGGAGCACGCCGGCGGCAACGUGCACCGCGAGGUCCCGGAGCAGCCCGGCCAGUACAGAGCCCCUCCGUAUUGGACGGACCCUGCGACUCCAUCCUCGCCUCCACUCACAGGUCUAUGCCGAUUUCCACAACAACACUGCCUUCAACUUUCUCAUUUCCCCGGCUCUGCAUACAAGGUGCAAACUAGGUAUGCCAUCUUGUUAUCGCUUGUUCAGUCGCUUUCUGGUUUAUUCCCUUUCACCUACAUAUGGUGAGGCAGUGUGUGGAAUUUAGGGGCUGGUUUGAACCAAUUACAAUGAUGUAGUGGUGCGGAUCAUUUCAGUCACCGACUUUAUAUUGUGGUCAGCUUGUUUGUCUUCUUGCUCAUGCAUUCUAAUACAUGAUGUCCUGAUGAUUUGUGAAGUUCUGUGUAUCACGUGAUCAGCUGCACAUCAGGUAGCAUGGCAGCUUGAUUGUUGCUUUUAGGAUGUACAUGUACCCAGGUGGAUCAAAUACAGAUAGCGAUCAUAUAUUUUUGUUUACUCGUGUGUUUUUCAUGUGUCUGCCAAGAAUUUCGACAAAUUGAUUAUAUCAUUCAGAUGUAUUCAGGCCAGGUUUCUAUGAUCCAAAAAAAUCAUGUGGCACUGGCUUUCUUGUUACAUACAAAACUAAAUGUGGACAAGUAUAUAUGUCAUUUUUUGGUAACUGACAAAAGUUUAUCUGGCACUGACUAUUGCGAUGCAUCUUUCUACGUGUGUGUAUUUAUUUGCAUUAUCAAUAUUUUCCUCCAAAUCAUUUGUUGGUCAUAAAUUAUUUUGCAUUAUUGAUGAUUAAUUUGCAAUUGAAAUGACAACAGGGCCGGGUUUUAUAAGUGUAAUGGGUUCAAGUGUGACCUUCCAGUCAAAAAAUGUCCUCAGCAAGAAGCUUAUGUGAAGAUCCCUUUUCUACUUUGAAUGAACUUACUGUAUAUAUCUCUUAUUUAGUUUAGUUCAUCAUUCAGAGAUGCAUGGUGGAAUAUUUUUGUCCUUCACAGGUUAAAUGAGCAUUGCGUAAAAGUCUGUCUAAGUCUCUUUCUUAUUCUUCUAUAAACUGGAAGGCAAAUAUAGAUUUCUCAUGCAUAGUUUAUCAAUCAUGAUCUCACCUCCUUUCUAUAUGCAGACAGUGUGGUACUCACUGGGGAUGCUUGCAGAUUGGUAGUGGAUGUGUGCAGUGAUGGAGGGUUAUGUCCCUAUGGGUGACAGGCAUGGUGAUGUUCACCACUGGUAUGGAGAGAAUAGGGAAAAAGAUAACUUCCCUUGAGCUAUGAAAUGUGGUAACGAAAUUACAAAUCAUUGUGGUGAUAUAACUCUUUCAUAUGACCAAAAUGAAAUCGCAUUGCACUAAUUAAAGAAUCUCCUACUAUAUUUGUUAUUUCAUUCUAUAAUUUAUGUUUAUACAAUGAAAACGAACCUGCUAAAUUCUCUAGGACAAAUGCUGGGAUGAAAUCCGCUGCAGAGCCUCAUGUGCUUCAAGUUUUCCAUAUGAAUAAGAAUUACGUACUCUUUUUCUGUGGUACGAACACAUUUCCAGACCUAUCAAGGCCAAGCUGCUAGCUAAUUUUAAUUUAUUUUUAUGCAGAUGAAUCAACAAGUGUUCUCCAAAAGGCUGAAGGUGAAUAUCAAGGCCAUCGCCCUUUGAUGAUGCACACCCAUGGUUUGUUCACCAUAAUGCAAUGAUAAGAUGUUCUCGAUGGGUAUGUAGCAGGAAUCUCUUGUAGAGUUCAAAACCAGCCUUAUUACCAAUCAUUUAUGAUGUGGUUGUUCUUGUCUUUCAGUAGAACAAAAGAAGUGGAACAAAUGGGUUUAACUUGUAUGCCUACUCCUGUUGCGAUAAGCAUUUGGUUUCCAUCUACAAGACAAGUUUCUGCUUGUGUAACGACAAUACUGUCUGGGUCGUCCAGUUUUUAGCUAUCAUCUGUUCCAGGAUCA